UGUAAUCACACAGAAACAUGAGUUUCAAUGCCAGCGGACAUAUAUUUAAAGCUUGCAUUGGAAAUUUAUUUCUGCACUUCACCUGGGAAACAAAAAAAGCCAUAAAGAGAAAUAAAGACCUUUAUAACAUUUGAUGAAGAUUCACAGAAGCCACAAAGGAACAAGUACUGCACAAAAGAUGACCAGGAAGGACUUCAAAGGCCUUCUAUGAAGAUGACUAUCUGAAAUGCAUCCAUCUAGACUUGGCUUCUUUCUAUUCAUUAUGCCUUCUGCUAGGCAGCUUCACCCCACCAGGCUGUGCUGUGCUGCCCCACCAGGCUUCAGGUGUUGGGUGGAGAUAUUCGUUCAUUAAGGAACAAAAGCAUGGGAAAAGAUUACCUCUGGAUUUCAUUUGGUGUUACGUGGAGAUUUUUGGCUUCUUCCUCUCCCCGGAGGCACAGACCCAGGGAAAACAAUGUCCAGGAAAGGAAAACAAGGAAGAAAGCACAGAGAAUUACUUAGCUAAUGAAGAGGAAUGGCUGACUUGUCCUGCAAGAGGGCAGUUAGCAGGGACACAUCCCCUCUGGGCUCACCCAGUGAAGAACAGACACCAACACAGACCACUAAAAGGUGAGCAUCGGUGGAGUGACGCUGCAGUUUCUCCAGCUGUGUUUUGUGAGCAUAAUCGAGAUUUCUGUAGUGCCAGUGCUCACAAAACAUCAAAUGGCUCUGACUAUCCAUCUGGAACCGAAACCAUUACAUCCUCCCUGUAUGGCUCUUAGGGGCAGCACAGAACUCAGGACGCAGAUUUGUAUGAUAUAGCGAGGAGAACCAAUCAGAAAAAUGAUGUUAGUGCCGCAUCCUGUCUGAUAAAAGAGCCCAGCAAACAUCCAAAGCACCAUGAUGGUACCGCUGUCUGUCCUCCCUCCCUCCCCACUUCCCUGUCCAUCCUUUCCUAUCCUGACAUUUUGAGACAAGGCACCAAAUGAUUCCUUUUCAAAUGUUACUUUUUCUCCCUGAAUUAUUAUGUUUUUACAGUACGGCAAUUUUAUAAUUAAGAUUAAAUACUUUGUGCAAUUGUUUUGGCUUUUUUUUCCCCCUCUCAAACAAAAUGGAACCAAGGUUCAAAUCCAGAAAUGUUGUGAAAGGGGAUUUCUAUUCUCCGUGUAGAUGAAUGUAACUAUGAUCAGAGGAAAUAAAACUUAGAGCAAAAAUGCUCUGGAUACAUUGAGGUAGAUUUUUCACCAUAAAUCAUUUGCAUAAAUAAAGGUAAGUUGAUUGUAAUCACUUCAGUAUUUCCUGUAGCUGAAGUUUUACUCUAUUUGUCUUUAUUUCUGCUGUAGUUUCAUCAGCACAAAAAAAUCAAGGAAGCAGUAAUAAAGAAAAAAACAGCACAAAAAAUACCCACAAAAAAAAAGAGCAACAGUAGAUCCAGCCGCUUAGCAGUGGGUGCUUUAUUUUCUCCAUAAUAUUUUCAGAGUGUUUGGGGGAGUAAUUUCAAACAGUCAAGUCAGAGUCCAUUGAGAAUUGAUUUUUGUGACCUCACAUAGUGUAACAGAAAAUUAUAACAGGAAAUAAACCAUUAAGUGAUAAACAAGGAAACAUGGAUACAAUUACUUUCAGAACAUAAUUUUAUUCACUCUAGUUUUGAAAAUGAAGAGAUAGUACUGACUGGAACACCUCAAUUCUGAAUGCAAACUGUACAAUCUAUUAUAUUAAACAAAGUCAAAAGCAAUGUGAAAGAUCUUGAAUCUAUUCAAGGCAUGCACCUCAUUACAGACUUAGCAAAUUAAAACACAAAUAGGAUUAGAAAAGAAUAAUGUAACAAUCUCCCACCAUGGUCCCUGGAGCAUUAAGUCAUAAAUUGGGUUUGCAUUAAAUUGUGCCUGCAGUAUUGAAUUCAGGGAAAGAGCUAUAGGCUGAAGAUAAACCUCGCUAGGCUGGCCAACUUUGGUAUGGCUGUGUGAUUUCAUAAAAACACAAUGAAUCUGUUGGAAUCUAAAAAGGCACAUUCAACAACAUGUAUUUCAUAUCUUAAUUAGAAAACGCAGAUAUGGGGUAGCAAUCUCUGGCUGCAAGAGGUAUAAACCCAGCCAAAAGCUGCAGACAUUUGAAACUGUCACUUCACCUGGAGGUGUUGUUUAAAUAAGGUAAUUCAGCACUUCGUGGCAUCACCUGCUGUGUUAAACUACACAAGUUUCCUGCUUUGCACAAAGCUCUAGUGUGCCCUGAGCUUCUUUUAGCUGGAAGAAACAAUCUUACCCCAAAAGAGCUGAGAGAAGCUGAGUUUCUGAUACAAAUGCAUUCUGUUGUUAUGGGAACUAAAAUGGUGAGCGAUGUGAAAAGGAUCCCUCGCUAACAAAGACCGGCUUGAUGAUAUUAUGGCAGCAGCUAUGCAAAAAGCAAAUAUAUCUGCAAGAAACAAACAGAGCUUCUCCAAAGAAGACGCAGGUUCCUG
This is a long non-coding RNA of Gallus gallus (chicken), 2437 nucleotides long. The record is from Ensembl. Lineage: Eukaryota; Metazoa; Chordata; Aves; Galliformes; Phasianidae.